RNAcentral lists this ribosomal RNA (465 nucleotides) under Vreelandella stevensii. Its description in RNAcentral is "partial 16S ribosomal RNA". It matches the Rfam family "Bacterial small subunit ribosomal RNA", at positions 338 to 795 of the family's 1533-position model. The record is from RNAcentral. Lineage: Bacteria; Pseudomonadati; Pseudomonadota; Gammaproteobacteria; Oceanospirillales; Halomonadaceae.
CCUACGGGAGGCUGCAGUGGGGAAUAUUGGACAAUGGGGGGAACCCUGAUCCAGCCAUGCCGCGUGUGUGAAGAAGGCCCUCGGGUUGUAAAGCACUUUCAGUGAGGAAGAACGCCUGGUGGUUAAUACCCAUCAGGAAAGACAUCACUCACAGAAGAAGCACCGGCUAACUCCGUGCCAGCAGCCGCGGUAAUACGGAGGGUGCGAGCGUUAAUCGGAAUUACUGGGCAUAAAGCGCGCGUAGGUGGCUUGAUAAGCCGGUUGUGAAAGCCCCGGGCUCAACCUGGGAACGGCAUCCGGAACUGUCAAGCUAGAGUGCAGGAGAGGAAGGUAGAAUUCCCGGUGUAGCGGUGAAAUGCGUAGAGAUCGGGAGGAAAACCAGUGGCGAAGGCGGCCUUCUGGACUGACACUGACACUGAGGUGCGAAAGCGUGGGUAGCAAACAGGAUUAGAUACCCUGGUAGUA